This 2902-nucleotide ribosomal RNA is filed under the name Escherichia coli. RNAcentral describes it as "bacterial LSU rRNA". It matches the Rfam family "Bacterial large subunit ribosomal RNA". Lineage: Bacteria; Pseudomonadati; Pseudomonadota; Gammaproteobacteria; Enterobacterales; Enterobacteriaceae. The record is from RNAcentral.
UUAAGCGACUAAGCGUACACGGUGGAUGCCCUGGCAGUCAGAGGCGAUGAAGGACGUGCUAAUCUGCGAUAAGCGUCGGUAAGGUGAUAUGAACCGUUAUAACCGGCGAUUUCCGAAUGGGGAAACCCAGUGUGAUUCGUCACACUAUCAUUAACUGAAUCCAUAGGUUAAUGAGGCGAACCGGGGGAACUGAAACAUCUAAGUACCCCGAGGAAAAGAAAUCAACCGAGAUUCCCCCAGUAGCGGCGAGCGAACGGGGAGCAGCCCAGAGCCUGAAUCAGUGUGUGUGUUAGUGGAAGCGUCUGGAAAGGCGCGCGAUACAGGGUGACAGCCCCGUACACAAAAAUGCACAUACUGUGAGCUCGAUGAGUAGGGCGGGACACGUGGUAUCCUGUCUGAAUAUGGGGGGACCAUCCUCCAAGGCUAAAUACUCCUGACUGACCGAUAGUGAACCAGUACCGUGAGGGAAAGGCGAAAAGAACCCCGGCGAGGGGAGUGAAAAAGAACCUGAAACCGUGUACGUACAAGCAGUGGGAGCACGCUUAGGCGUGUGACUGCGUACCUUUUGUAUAAUGGGUCAGCGACUUAUAUUCUGUAGCAAGGUUAACCGAAUAGGGGAGCCGAAGGGAAACCGAGUCUUAACUGGGCGUUAAGUUGCAGGGUAUAGACCCGAAACCCGGUGAUCUAGCCAUGGGCAGGUUGAAGGUUGGGUAACACUAACUGGAGGACCGAACCGACUAAUGUUGAAAAAUUAGCGGAUGACUUGUGGCUGGGGGUGAAAGGCCAAUCAAACCGGGAGAUAGCUGGUUCUCCCCGAAAGCUAUUUAGGUAGCGCCUCGUGAAUUCAUCUCCGGGGGUAGAGCACUGUUUCGGCAAGGGGGUCAUCCCGACUUACCAACCCGAUGCAAACUGCGAAUACCGGAGAAUGUUAUCACGGGAGACACACGGCGGGUGCUAACGUCCGUCGUGAAGAGGGAAACAACCCAGACCGCCAGCUAAGGUCCCAAAGUCAUGGUUAAGUGGGAAACGAUGUGGGAAGGCCCAGACAGCCAGGAUGUUGGCUUAGAAGCAGCCAUCAUUUAAAGAAAGCGUAAUAGCUCACUGGUCGAGUCGGCCUGCGCGGAAGAUGUAACGGGGCUAAACCAUGCACCGAAGCUGCGGCAGCGACGCUGAUGCGUUGUUGGGUAGGGGAGCGUUCUGUAAGCCUGUGAAGGUGUGCUGUGAGGCAUGCUGGAGGUAUCAGAAGUGCGAAUGCUGACAUAAGUAACGAUAAAGCGGGUGAAAAGCCCGCUCGCCGGAAGACCAAGGGUUCCUGUCCAACGUUAAUCGGGGCAGGGUGAGUCGACCCCUAAGGCGAGGCCGAAAGGCGUAGUCGAUGGGAAACAGGUUAAUAUUCCUGUACUUGGUGUUACUGCGAAGGGGGGACGGAGAAGGCUAUGUUGGCCGGGCGACGGUUGUCCCGGUUUAAGCGUGUAGGCUGGUUUUCCAGGCAAAUCCGGAAAAUCAAGGCUGAGGCGUGAUGACGAGGCACUACGGUGCUGAAGCAACAAAUGCCCUGCUUCCAGGAAAAGCCUCUAAGCAUCAGGUAACAUCAAAUCGUACCCCAAACCGACACAGGUGGUCAGGUAGAGAAUACCAAGGCGCUUGAGAGAACUCGGGUGAAGGAACUAGGCAAAAUGGUGCCGUAACUUCGGGAGAAGGCACGCUGAUAUGUAGGUGAAGUCCCUCGCGGAUGGAGCUGAAAUCAGUCGAAGAUACCAGCUGGCUGCAACUGUUUAUUAAAAACACAGCACUGUGCAAACACGAAAGUGGACGUAUACGGUGUGACGCCUGCCCGGUGCCGGAAGGUUAAUUGAUGGGGUCAGCGCAAGCGAAGCUCUUGAUCGAAGCCCCGGUAAACGGCGGCCGUAACUAUAACGGUCCUAAGGUAGCGAAAUUCCUUGUCGGGUAAGUUCCGACCUGCACGAAUGGCGUAAUGAUGGCCAGGCUGUCUCCACCCGAGACUCAGUGAAAUUGAACUCGCUGUGAAGAUGCAGUGUACCCGCGGCAAGACGGAAAGACCCCGUGAACCUUUACUAUAGCUUGACACUGAACAUUGAGCCUUGAUGUGUAGGAUAGGUGGGAGGCUUUGAAGUGUGGACGCCAGUCUGCAUGGAGCCGGCCUUGAAAUACCACCCUUUAAUGUUUGAUGUUCUAACGUUGACCCGUUAUCCGGGUUGCGGACAGUGUCUGGUGGGUAGUUUGACUGGGGCGGUCUCCUCCUAAAGAGUAACGGAGGAGCACGAAGGUUGGCUAAUCCUGGUCGGACAUCAGGAGGUUAGUGCAAUGGCAUAAGCCAGCUUGACUGCGAGCGUGACGGCGCGAGCAGGUGCGAAAGCAGGUCAUAGUGAUCCGGUGGUUCUGAAUGGAAGGGCCAUCGCUCAACGGAUAAAAGGUACUCCGGGGAUAACAGGCUGAUACCGCCCAAGAGUUCAUAUCGACGGCGGUGUUUGGCACCUCGAUGUCGGCUCAUCACAUCCUGGGGCUGAAGUAGGUCCCAAGGGUAUGGCUGUUCGCCAUUUAAAGUGGUACGCGAGCUGGGUUUAGAACGUCGUGAGACAGUUCGGUCCCUAUCUGCCGUGGGCGCUGGAGAACUGAGGGGGGCUGCUCCUAGUACGAGAGGACCGGAGUGGACGCAUCACUGGUGUUCGGGUUGUCAUGCCAAUGGCACUGCCCGGUAGCUAAAUGCGGAAGAGAUAAGUGCUGAAAGCAUCUAAGCACGAAACUUGCCCCGAGAUGAGUUCUCCCUGACUCCUUGAGAGUCCUGAAGGAACGUUGAAGACGACGACGUUGAUAGGCCGGGUGUGUAAGCGCAGCGAUGCGUUGAGCUAACCGGUACUAAUGAACCGUGAGGCUUAACCUU